RNAcentral lists this ribosomal RNA (125 nucleotides) under Pleosporineae sp. Its description in RNAcentral is "partial small subunit ribosomal RNA". It matches the Rfam family "Eukaryotic small subunit ribosomal RNA", at positions 1657 to 1779 of the family's 1831-position model. The record is from RNAcentral. Lineage: Eukaryota; Fungi; Ascomycota; Dothideomycetes; Pleosporales.
CCUUUGUACACACCGCCCGUCGCUACUACCGAUUGAAUGGCUCAGUGAGGCCUUCGGACUGCCUCGAGGAGGUUGGCAACGACCACCCCGAGGCGGAAAGUUCGUCAAACUCGGUCAUUUAGAGG